GGUUUUGCAUGUCGGGCGUGCUCCAUAAAUGCGGGCUUUCCAUCCCCUCCGGAACAUCAGGGUUAAUUUUCAACAGCUCUGGGGCUAGAUGAACCCUAGAUCUGAAGCUCACCGGUCUCGUUUCCUGGUUGUUCAACCUGGAGAAAGGGAUUCCCUCCUCCACCCCCCACCCCGGCCAGAGACCCAGCUUCGUCUGUAGUAACAGGAAUGAGGACACAGAGACAACUCUAUGGCAGGCCCGGGGCUGGGUGGCCACCAGGGAUUCGGAUCUGAAGGACGAUCUCCUACCUUGCGGAGGUCACAGAUGCAAAAACGGGCAAUUGCAGUCACGUGGUCAGUGUUGUGCAGGUUGCCUUGUCAUUGCGUUGAUGGUUUGUCUCCAUCGCUGGGCAGAAGCUUUUUAGUUUGACGGAGGCCCACUUGCUUAGUUUUGCUUUGGUUGCCUCUGCUUUUGGCAUCGGACCCAAAAAUAGCAUCGCCGAGACGGAUAUGAAGGAGCUCGCCGCCUGUUUUUUCUUCUAGGAGAUUCACGGUUUCAGGUCUCACGUUCAAGUUUUUCAUCAUGUUUCUGCAUGUGGCCGUCCGGUUUUCCCAACAGGAAAACAGAAAGCACGAGAUAAAGAAUGCAUUAUAAAAUAGGAAUUCUGGUACCUUUGCUCCCUCAAA
Long non-coding RNA from Herpailurus yagouaroundi (jaguarundi), 666 nucleotides. RefSeq lists it as uncharacterized. The record is from RefSeq and is a predicted model, not a curated record. The transcript is spliced from 3 exons. NCBI's taxonomy places the organism in Eukaryota, Metazoa, Chordata, Mammalia, Carnivora, Felidae.